AAGUCGUAACAAGGUUUCCGUAGGUGAACCUGCGGAAGGAUCAUUAUUGAAUAAAUCUGAUGUGGUUGUAGCUGGCUCUCUCGGGAGUAUGUGCUCGCCCGUCACCUUUAUCUUUCCACCUGUGCACUUCUUGUAGAUUUGGAUGUAACUGUCCGAGGCAACUCGGUUGGGAGGAAUGUCAUUCGUGGCUUUCCUUGUAUGUCCAAGUCUAUGUUUUCAUAUACUCCAAAGAAUGUAACAGAAUGUAUCACUAGGCCUUGUGCCUAUAAAACUAUAUACAACUUUCAGCAACGGAUCUCUUGGCUCUC
This 308-nucleotide unclassified non-coding RNA is filed under the name Gymnopilus decipiens. RNAcentral's name for it is "partial internal transcribed spacer region". The stretch from base 1 to 46 matches the Rfam family "Eukaryotic small subunit ribosomal RNA", at positions 1786 to 1831 of the family's 1831-position model. The record is from RNAcentral. Lineage: Eukaryota; Fungi; Basidiomycota; Agaricomycetes; Agaricales; Galerinaceae.